Molecule: ribosomal RNA, 495 nt
Filed under: uncultured bacterium
Lineage: Bacteria
Description: bacterial SSU rRNA
Rfam family: Bacterial small subunit ribosomal RNA
Source: RNAcentral
AGUGAACGCUGGCGGCAGGCCUAAUACAUGCAAGUCGAACGGCAGCACAGUGGAGCUUGCUCCAUGGGUGGCGAGUGGCGGACGGGUGAGGAAUACAUGGGAAUCUGCCCAGUCGUGGGGGAUAACGUAGGGAAACUUACGCUAAUACCGCAUGCGCCCUUCGGGGGAAAGCCGGGGACCUUCGGGCCUGGCGCGAUUGGAUGAGCCCAUGUCGGAUUAGCUAGUUGGCGGGGUAAUGGCCCACCAAGGCGACGAUCCGUAGCUGGUCUGAGAGGAUGAUCAGCCACACUGGAACUGAGACACGGUCCAGACUCCUACGGGAGGCAGCAGUAGGGAAUAUUGGACAAUGGGCGCAAGCCUGAUCCAGCCAUGCCGCGUGAGUGAAGAAGGCCCUCGGGUUGUAAAGCUCUUUUGUACGGAACGAAAAGACUCUUUCUAAUAAAGAGGGUCCAUGACGGUACCGUAAGAAUAAGCACCGGCUAACUACGUGCCAGC